CCCCCAUGACGUGCUGUCCCAGUGUCAGAGCCAGUGUGAGUAUGAGCAGCAGGGGACUCCGACACACAGACAUCGCAUUGAGAAGGUGGAGUGCAAGGAUAGAUGGCACUUGCUAAGUGGGGGUUAUCUUUAAAUAAGAGGAUAAUUGAGUAUUUCAAAGGCUUUGUUUUAUUGUCUUUAACACAAAAGAUUAGUGAAUAUAUAGAAUAUUGUGGCUGGAAUGAAAUCUCUCAGAAGGAAGAUUGCUUUUUACCAAGUAUAAAAUAUUCUGAAUGACUGAUACACAAAGAAGCACCACAGGUGGAUUUUAGGGAGGAAAUGACAUUGGAAGGACUCAGGAAGGGAGGGCAAGUGAGCUCAGGUCCGAUUAGGAGGCAGGAGCCCUGAGAGGCUGCAGGGACACACAGCCUGCCCUGGGUGGUGUGUCCUGUUCGAUAUGGGUUAUUUCACAUUGAUGAGGUGGCCUGGAGCUAGAAAGCCAUUUUUCCCUGCUCCUGCCUUGCACCCGCUGACCGUCACUCUUUGUCCUCCUAGGUUCCAAGGAGGAGUCCCUGGAAGACAGCAACAAAGGCUCAGCUGAGGACGCUUCCCAGCAUUUGAAGGUUACCUGCGCAGACCAGGAGAAUGGAAGCUCUGAGGACAGCAACUUUUCUGAAACCCAUCAUGACAAAGACUUUGCAAGUGGUGGAGAUGCUUCAGCUUCUGGAGCAGAUAUGGAAGAGCCCAAGUGCGCAGAUGGCCAUCAGCAUGUACCAACAAGUCCUCUCCCGGCACCUGCAGAAAAAGCGAAAGAGACAAACCCUGAACAGGCAGAAGAAAUAAAACCUAGUGAGCUCGAGGAGGAUGAGGAUGCUGAAGAGCCUGACCUGACCUGUUGUGGCCUUUGUAUUUGAUGGUGGAAAUCCCUAAAGGCAAGUGAACGAUGCCCUGAGAACAUCCUCCAGGGAACAGACACCCUCUCCAUAGCAGCCCCUGAGCCCACUGGGCUGAGCCCUCCAUAGGCUGCUUUAAUGAGGGAGGGGCUGAGGUGCUGGUCAGGCUACCACAUGCAGGAUUCUGAGGGCCAUGC
Molecule: non-coding RNA, 1069 nt
Organism: Chlorocebus sabaeus (green monkey)
Lineage: Eukaryota; Metazoa; Chordata; Mammalia; Primates; Cercopithecidae
Source: RefSeq, a predicted model, not a curated record